Molecule: ribosomal RNA, 301 nt
Filed under: uncultured bacterium
Lineage: Bacteria
Description: partial 16S ribosomal RNA
Rfam family: Bacterial small subunit ribosomal RNA
Source: RNAcentral
CAGCAGCCACGGGAAUACAGAGGGUGCGAGCGUUAAUCGGAUUUACUGGGCGUAAAGCGUGCGUAGGCGGCUUUUUAAGUCGGAUGUGAAAUCCCUGAGCUUAACUUAGGAAUUGCAUUCGAUACUGGGAAGCUAGAGUAUGGGAGAGGAUGGUAGAAUUCCAGGUGUAGCGGUGAAAUGCGUAGAGAUCUGGAGGAAUACCGAUGGCGAAGGCAGCCAUCUGGCCUAAUACUGACGCUGAGGUACGAAAGCAUGGGGAGCAAACAGGAUUAGAUACCCGAGUAGUCCCUGUCUCUUAUAA